RNAcentral lists this ribosomal RNA (490 nucleotides) under uncultured bacterium. RNAcentral describes it as "partial 16S ribosomal RNA". It matches the Rfam family "Bacterial small subunit ribosomal RNA", at positions 30 to 507 of the family's 1533-position model. The record is from RNAcentral.
AUUGAACGCUGGCGGCAGGCCUAACACAUGCAAGUCGAACGGUAACAGGAAGCAGCUUGCUGCUUUGCUGACGAGUGGCGGGCGGGUGAGUAAUGUCUGGGAAACUGCCCGAUGGAGGGGGGUAACUACUGGAAACGGUAGCUAAUACCGCAUAACGUCGCAAGACCAAAGAGGGGGACCUUAUGGCCUCUUGCCAUCUGAUGUGCCCAGAUGGGAUUAGCUAGUAGGUGGGGUAACGGCGCACCUAGGCGACGAUCCCUAGCUGGUCUGAGAGGAUGAGCAGCCACACUGGAACUGAGACACGGUCCAGACUCCUACGGGAGGCAGCAGUGGGGAAUAUUGCACAAUGGGCGCAAGCCUGAUGCAGCCAUGCCGCGUGUAUGAAGAAGGCCUUCGGGUUGUAAAGUCCUUUUAGCGGGGAAGAAGGGAGUAAAGUUAAUACCUUGCCUCAUUGACGUUACCCGAAGAAGAAGCACCGGCUAACUCCGUG